GCCCGGGUGGCGAAACCGGUAGACGCAGCGGACUUAAAAUCCGCGGCCUUUCACGAGGCAUACGGGUUCGAGUCCCGUCCUGGGCACCA
This 89-nucleotide transfer RNA is filed under the name Burkholderiales bacterium. RNAcentral's name for it is "tRNA-Leu". It matches the Rfam family "tRNA". From Rfam's summary of the family: Transfer RNA (tRNA) molecules are approximately 80 nucleotides in length. Their secondary structure includes four short double-helical elements and three loops (D, anti-codon, and T loops). Lineage: Bacteria; Pseudomonadati; Pseudomonadota; Betaproteobacteria; Burkholderiales. The record is from RNAcentral.